GAUGAACGCUGGCGGCGUGCUUAACACAUGCAAGUCGAACGAUGAAGCCCAGCUUGCUGGGUGGAUUAGUGGCGAACGGGUGAGUAACACGUGAGUAACCUGCCCUUGACUCUGGGAUAAGCCUGGGAAACUGGGUCUAAUACUGGAUAUGACUUCUCAUCGCAUGGUGGGGGGUGGAAAGAUUUAUUGGUCUUGGAUGGACUCGCGGCCUAUCAGCUUGUUGGUGAGGUAAUGGCUCACCAAGGCGACGACGGGUAGCCGGCCUGAGAGGGUGACCGGCCACACUGGGACUGAGACACGGCCCAGACUCCUACGGGAGGCAGCAGUGGGGAAUAUUGCACAAUGGGCGCAAGCCUGAUGCAGCGACGCCGCGUGAGGGAUGACGGCCUCCGGGUUGUAAACCUCUUUCAGUAGGGAAGAAGCGAGAGUGACGGUACCUGCAGAAGAAGCGCCGGCUAACUACGUG
Molecule: ribosomal RNA, 466 nt
Filed under: uncultured bacterium
Lineage: Bacteria
Description: partial 16S ribosomal RNA
Rfam family: Bacterial small subunit ribosomal RNA
Source: RNAcentral